This 765-nucleotide long non-coding RNA is filed under the name Homo sapiens (human). Its description in RNAcentral is "HSALNT0310740". Lineage: Eukaryota; Metazoa; Chordata; Mammalia; Primates; Hominidae. The record is from RNAcentral.
GGUGCAGGCAGUGGGACGAGGAGGCCUUUUACCCCCAUCCACCGCAGCCCUUGACUUCACGCUCGCCUCGAAGCUUUCGCAAAGUAGAUACGGGGACUGACCCUGUUGACACACUAACCCAAACUCGCAGACGCGUGGGGCUCGCAUGUACCCAAGACAGGAAAACUUCACGUUGGCCUGGAAACUUCUUCCAGGCUAAGCCUGAGUCUUCACCAGACACUGCAGCACGAAGGCCCUUCUGCCUUUUGGCUCGCCCUGGCCCAGAAUGCGCACCAGCCGGCAAGAGAAAGAGGCCCACUGCAAUAUGCUGUGAAGAAUACAUAAGAAGUCAAACUGUUGACCUCUUUUCCCCAGCCCGUUCCAAAACUACAUCCCUGAGGAGUUGUGCACCUCUACGGAAAGUUCAGAUGAAAGAGCUAAUUCCCCUUGAUCUCUCUUCUUGUUCAGAGUGGAGGAAAAACAUAUACCAUCCCUUCCAUCAAUCCUCAGCAUAACUUUGCCAGGGACACUGGUAACAAGCUACUUUUACCUCAGAAGUUGGAGAGUAUCACUUGACCCACAUUGUGUAUGUGUAAAUAUCUUUAUUCAGUGUAUAUACAAUAUAUUCUUAAUUUGACUCUCAAAGUUUAUAAUUAGCAUUGAAUGAGUAUGAAACAUUGUUUUCCAAAUACUGUCAGCAAGCUAUUGAAUAUGUUGUUCCUGAUUUAUGAAUGAGAUUUUCAUCAGCAGAAACUUAUGACAAAUGACCAAUUACAUUGUCACUGC